RNAcentral lists this ribosomal RNA (708 nucleotides) under Blastenia hungarica. Its description in RNAcentral is "LSU rRNA". It matches the Rfam family "Bacterial large subunit ribosomal RNA", at positions 1003 to 1436 of the family's 2925-position model. Lineage: Eukaryota; Fungi; Ascomycota; Lecanoromycetes; Teloschistales; Teloschistaceae. The record is from RNAcentral.
GGUUGUAUGUCUWAAGGGAAACAGCCCAGAACAAGUGUUAAUAAGGUUCCAAAAUUAUUAUUAAGUGAAAUAAAGGUAGUUUGUGUCCUAAACGGCCAGGAAAUGGGCUUAGAAGCGGCCAUUUUUUAAAGACCUCGUAACAGAGCACUGGUUUCUCCUAAUUAUUAGGGUAAAUUAAGUAUAAGAAGUUAAAAUUUUUAAUUUAGUUUACAUGGAUAUAAGCACCGACGAUACAACGGAUCUAAAUAAUAUACCGAGACCUUGUCCAUAAUUAUAUAUAUAAUGUUUUAUAACCAGAGUAUAUUAAUUAAUUUUAUUUAUAUGCUAUAGAACCACACUAGGGCGGCGCAAACCCGGCUGCUAGUUGCAACAUAUAUACUAGAGUUAAUUUUUCCCUCUAGCAAGUUUUUUUAGCAAAAAGUUAAAAAAGAUCCGAUCCUGGCCUUGCUAAAAGUUAUAUGUUAUAUAUAGUUUUAUGGGGUAGCGGAACAUUGGGUAUACCACACCCUUUUAUUUUAUAAAUAAAAUAAGGUACCCCAAGUGAUAAUGCUGACAUGAGUAACGAUAAAGGGUUUUAAGCAAUAAACUAAAAUAGAUGAUGCUUAAACAUGCCCUCGCCUAAAGCUUAUGGCAUUUAGUUAAAGUAACGGCCUCUAAGUUUAUAUUUUAGUAAACCUAAGGGAUUAAACGAUGAGAAAAUCUAUAAAG